RNAcentral lists this ribosomal RNA (261 nucleotides) under Triticum aestivum (bread wheat). Its description in RNAcentral is "partial small subunit ribosomal RNA". Lineage: Eukaryota; Viridiplantae; Streptophyta; Magnoliopsida; Poales; Poaceae. The record is from RNAcentral.
AUGUUUGAACAAUUUGGGGAGAUUUUGUAUGAGUGUGGAGCUUAUCAGGUGGAGGAGAUUGAGAAACACAAGACAUACCUAGCAAUACAUAGCGAAGCAGAGAAAAGGGAAAAGUGGUGUAGAGUAUCUUACAUGGUGACUAUGAUUGACGGUGGAGAUGAGUUCGAGUGCGAGUGUGGGCAGUUUGCACAUAUGGGGCUGCUUUGCAGCCAUGUUCUGAAGGUUAGUGGUUUUUUGAACUACUAUGUGGAUUCUUUUUGA